RNAcentral lists this ribosomal RNA (2921 nucleotides) under Staphylococcus aureus VET0192R. RNAcentral describes it as "bacterial LSU rRNA". It matches the Rfam family "Bacterial large subunit ribosomal RNA". Lineage: Bacteria; Bacillati; Bacillota; Bacilli; Caryophanales; Staphylococcaceae. The record is from RNAcentral.
UUAAGUUAUUAAGGGCGCACGGUGGAUGCCUUGGCACUAGAAGCCGAUGAAGGACGUUACUAACGACGAUAUGCUUUGGGGAGCUGUAAGUAAGCUUUGAUCCAGAGAUUUCCGAAUGGGGAAACCCAGCAUGAGUUAUGUCAUGUUAUCGAUAUGUGAAUACAUAGCAUAUCAGAAGGCACACCCGGAGAACUGAAACAUCUUAGUACCCGGAGGAAGAGAAAGAAAAUUCGAUUCCCUUAGUAGCGGCGAGCGAAACGGGAAGAGCCCAAACCAACAAGCUUGCUUGUUGGGGUUGUAGGACACUCUAUACGGAGUUACAAAGGACGACAUUAGACGAAUCAUCUGGAAAGAUGAAUCAAAGAAGGUAAUAAUCCUGUAGUCGAAAAUGUUGUCUCUCUUGAGUGGAUCCUGAGUACGACGGAGCACGUGAAAUUCCGUCGGAAUCUGGGAGGACCAUCUCCUAAGGCUAAAUACUCUCUAGUGACCGAUAGUGAACCAGUACCGUGAGGGAAAGGUGAAAAGCACCCCGGAAGGGGAGUGAAAUAGAACCUGAAACCGUGUGCUUACAAGUAGUCAGAGCCUGUUAAUGGGUGAUGGCGUGCCUUUUGUAGAAUGAACCGGCGAGUUACGAUUUGAUGCAAGGUUAAGCAGUAAAUGUGGAGCCGUAGCGAAAGCGAGUCUGAAUAGGGCGUUUAGUAUUUGGUCGUAGACCCGAAACCAGGUGAUCUACCCUUGGUCAGGUUGAAGUUCAGGUAACACUGAAUGGAGGACCGAACCGACUUACGUUGAAAAGUGAGCGGAUGAACUGAGGGUAGCGGAGAAAUUCCAAUCGAACCUGGAGAUAGCUGGUUCUCUCCGAAAUAGCUUUAGGGCUAGCCUCAAGUGAUGAUUAUUGGAGGUAGAGCACUGUUUGGACGAGGGGCCCCUCUCGGGUUACCGAAUUCAGACAAACUCCGAAUGCCAAUUAAUUUAACUUGGGAGUCAGAACAUGGGUGAUAAGGUCCGUGUUCGAAAGGGAAACAGCCCAGACCACCAGCUAAGGUCCCAAAAUAUAUGUUAAGUGGAAAAGGAUGUGGCGUUGCCCAGACAACUAGGAUGUUGGCUUAGAAGCAGCCAUCAUUUAAAGAGUGCGUAAUAGCUCACUAGUCGAGUGACACUGCGCCGAAAAUGUACCGGGGCUAAACAUAUUACCGAAGCUGUGGAUUGUCCUUUGGACAAUGGUAGGAGAGCGUUCUAAGGGCGUUGAAGCAUGAUCGUAAGGACAUGUGGAGCGCUUAGAAGUGAGAAUGCCGGUGUGAGUAGCGAAAGACGGGUGAGAAUCCCGUCCACCGAUUGACUAAGGUUUCCAGAGGAAGGCUCGUCCGCUCUGGGUUAGUCGGGUCCUAAGCUGAGGCCGACAGGCGUAGGCGAUGGAUAACAGGUUGAUAUUCCUGUACCACCUAUAAUCGUUUUAAUCGAUGGGGGGACGCAGUAGGAUAGGCGAAGCGUGCGAUUGGAUUGCACGUCUAAGCAGUAAGGCUGAGUAUUAGGCAAAUCCGGUACUCGUUAAGGCUGAGCUGUGAUGGGGAGAAGACAUUGUGUCUUCGAGUCGUUGAUUUCACACUGCCGAGAAAAGCCUCUAGAUAGAAAAUAGGUGCCCGUACCGCAAACCGACACAGGUAGUCAAGAUGAGAAUUCUAAGGUGAGCGAGCGAACUCUCGUUAAGGAACUCGGCAAAAUGACCCCGUAACUUCGGGAGAAGGGGUGCUCUUUAGGGUUAACGCCCAGAAGAGCCGCAGUGAAUAGGCCCAAGCGACUGUUUAUCAAAAACACAGGUCUCUGCUAAACCGUAAGGUGAUGUAUAGGGGCUGACGCCUGCCCGGUGCUGGAAGGUUAAGAGGAGUGGUUAGCUUCUGCGAAGCUACGAAUCGAAGCCCCAGUAAACGGCGGCCGUAACUAUAACGGUCCUAAGGUAGCGAAAUUCCUUGUCGGGUAAGUUCCGACCCGCACGAAAGGCGUAACGAUUUGGGCACUGUCUCAACGAGAGACUCGGUGAAAUCAUAGUACCUGUGAAGAUGCAGGUUACCCGCGACAGGACGGAAAGACCCCGUGGAGCUUUACUGUAGCCUGAUAUUGAAAUUCGGCACAGCUUGUACAGGAUAGGUAGGAGCCUUUGAAACGUGAGCGCUAGCUUACGUGGAGGCGCUGGUGGGAUACUACCCUAGCUGUGUUGGCUUUCUAACCCGCACCACUUAUCGUGGUGGGAGACAGUGUCAGGCGGGCAGUUUGACUGGGGCGGUCGCCUCCUAAAAGGUAACGGAGGCGCUCAAAGGUUCCCUCAGAAUGGUUGGAAAUCAUUCAUAGAGUGUAAAGGCAUAAGGGAGCUUGACUGCGAGACCUACAAGUCGAGCAGGGUCGAAAGACGGACUUAGUGAUCCGGUGGUUCCGCAUGGAAGGGCCAUCGCUCAACGGAUAAAAGCUACCCCGGGGAUAACAGGCUUAUCUCCCCCAAGAGUUCACAUCGACGGGGAGGUUUGGCACCUCGAUGUCGGCUCAUCGCAUCCUGGGGCUGUAGUCGGUCCCAAGGGUUGGGCUGUUCGCCCAUUAAAGCGGUACGCGAGCUGGGUUCAGAACGUCGUGAGACAGUUCGGUCCCUAUCCGUCGUGGGCGUAGGAAAUUUGAGAGGAGCUGUCCUUAGUACGAGAGGACCGGGAUGGACAUACCUCUGGUGUACCAGUUGUCGUGCCAACGGCAUAGCUGGGUAGCUAUGUGUGGACGGGAUAAGUGCUGAAAGCAUCUAAGCAUGAAGCCCCCCUCAAGAUGAGAUUUCCCAACUUCGGUUAUAAGAUCCCUCAAAGAUGAUGAGGUUAAUAGGUUCGAGGUGGAAGCAUGGUGACAUGUGGAGCUGACGAAUACUAAUCGAUCGAAGACUUAAUCAA